GUCAAUUGCAAAAGACUUAUAUUGAAUCAAAACAUACGGAUACAACGUGAACAUAGCUUUGUAUACGUGUGUUUUGAUCCUAUUAACGAUGCAUUCAACAUUUUGUUUUUAAUCCUGAAAAAUUCCCCUAUUAUGUGCCAUCUAUAAGUGGUAAACAGUGCUACUAAGAGCGAUCUUCUUUACUUUGCUAUGCCAUGUCGUUCCUCGAGUUUCUUUCUUAAUCCACUUCAAGAUAAGAUAAAACUUGCAAAUCCUAAAUAUAAUCUCGCUUAGUAUAAGUUCAAGAAUAACGAAAUUCAUUUAAUUAUGAAUCUAUUCGUGCAAUAAAAAUGAACACACAUUUUUUACAAUAAGGUCCAAAACUAUUAUCAUCAAUAAAAAGAAAAGCAUCACUUGCCAUCAACUAUUGGGGAAUUGUGGUACUCGAUCAUGAUUUGAUUUAAAUAAAAAAAUUUGAUAUAAAUUUAAGUUAAAAUUAUAAUUAUUAGUUGCAUCAACUUUUAUUAAAAUUUACUAAAAAUUUAACUUUUAACAAAAUCAAAUAUGGGUUUAAUUAUUAAUUUGAUAAGCAAACAAAAGUAGAAAUUAUGAUUGAAGGAAGUUCUCACUGGAUAUAGCCUAAUGGUGCAAAAGACAAGAGUGAGAUUAUCCCACGCUUUGUUGACGGUCGCAGUGUGGAGGUUCGAUUCCUGAAACAUAGAAUUAAACUCCUUAUAGGUGCGAUGUAUAUGUAGUUCUUAUUCCUUGAUCUACUGGAACACAUCCUACAAUUUACCUUCCUCAAAAAGUUCUAGAAUUGGGGCGGUUGAAACCCGGCCUCAACCUUUAUAAUUGAAGGAAGCGUGGAACGAUCGCAGAGAUGUAGCAGAGAAUCUUUGGU
Molecule: long non-coding RNA, 880 nt
Filed under: Olea europaea subsp. europaea
Lineage: Eukaryota; Viridiplantae; Streptophyta; Magnoliopsida; Lamiales; Oleaceae
Source: RNAcentral